AGGCAGUACAUUGCUAGCUGGCUGU
RNAcentral lists this non-coding RNA (25 nucleotides) under Pteropus alecto (black flying fox). Its record names the gene pal-miR-449c-5p. Lineage: Eukaryota; Metazoa; Chordata; Mammalia; Chiroptera; Pteropodidae. The record is from miRBase by way of RNAcentral. RNAcentral also lists the same sequence under 1 other name.